This 1252-nucleotide long non-coding RNA is filed under the name Pogona vitticeps (central bearded dragon). Its description in RNAcentral is "lncRNA (ENSPVIG00000003767.1)". The record is from RNAcentral. Lineage: Eukaryota; Metazoa; Chordata; Lepidosauria; Squamata; Agamidae.
AUGGAGGCGCCUUGGGAGGACGCGUCGCUGCAGGGCUCCUGGGUGGAGGUGCCUCCUUUCGGGCAGGAGCCGCCCAUGCUGGCCUGCGCGCCCUGCGGCGGCGACCUGGAAGCGGUCCUGUUGGAAGCCCAGAUGGAGGCGGAGCGCGGCGACGGUCCACUCCUGGCAUUGAAAGUACCCGCUGCAGAGGACCUGAGUGUGGGGCAGAGGGAAGACCUGGAGAGCCCGGUCCAGAGGGGGGUCCUGGCUUGGCCAUGGUCUAGCGCCCCUGAACAUCUCUCCUCCAAGGAGUCAGCCUGUAUUUCCCCUGUGGUAACGUGCCCCUCCUUGCUCAGCCCGGCUCUGCACAGGAGGAGGGGGCUGCGGGACCCCCAGCUGCUACUCCUCAUCAUCCCCUCUCUGCUACUCAGCCAUGUCGUGGCCCUAGGCCUUGGCAUCUGCAUCGGCAAGCGCCUGGCCACCUCCUCGGCAAGCAGCCUGUGAUGGGGCACAGCCAUCUCUCCCUGGAUCCCUCUCUUCAGAGCCCUGCUCCCCCCUCUCCCUGAAUGGCCAGCUGAGGAGAGAUCCCCAAGCCAGGAUCAUUUCCCCAGGACCUUCUCCUGCCUGAAAAAAAGAGAAGAAACGAUGGAAAGAGCUUGCAAUCCAAAUAUCAUGUGUGUCUCAAUCUUUCUGGGCCUCAGGGGCCACAUCCGAACCCCCCCCAAAGUCUUGAUGGCCUCAGCCCCCAAGCCCCUUCUCCUGUCGAGGGGCAAGGAUUCUGCAGCUCCCUUCUUUUCUGGGCAGCUUGCUGGGGAGGGUGGGCCUGGUUUUUGACUGACAUAGAGAAGAUAGAUUUUUAAAUGCAGCAUAUGAGUGGCUUGUGGAAAUCCCUAGCACUAGAAGCCAUGGCAGGUGGUAUGCAAUAUUACCAAACCCAUCCAGGCAAAUUGGGGGCUCAAUGAACGAUAGGGAAGGAGACAGAGAAGCCCAGCCCGUUGUCCGCGGACAGAUUUCAAGGCUGCUGAAAUGGGGGGGGGAGGGGGCUCUGGCUCUUCCCCUUCCUGCUCAGUCCUUGGACCCAAAUGUUGGAACACCAGCUGGUUAGCAGGAGGGCACUCAGGCCAGAACGGCCCCCUCCCUGCCACCGGCCGCGUGCAGGCUGCCUCGCUCACCCUCAGCAUUAGAACUCCGCGGACUGCUCUCCUCUGCAGACUUGACCGCGACGCCCUUCCUUUCCGUGAAUAAACCCUGGUGAAAAGCUCUUGGUCGCCCA